RNAcentral lists this ribosomal RNA (1172 nucleotides) under Microbacterium sp. Its description in RNAcentral is "bacterial SSU rRNA". It matches the Rfam family "Bacterial small subunit ribosomal RNA", at positions 113 to 1298 of the family's 1533-position model. The record is from RNAcentral. Lineage: Bacteria; Bacillati; Actinomycetota; Actinomycetes; Micrococcales; Microbacteriaceae.
ACACGUGAGCAACCUGCCCCUGACUCUGGGAUAAGCGCUGGAAACGGCGUCUAAUACUGGAUAUGUGACGUGACCGCAUGGUCUGCGUCUGGAAAGAAUUUCGGUUGGGGAUGGGCUCGCGGCCUAUCAGCUUGUUGGUGAGGUAAUGGCUCACCAAGGCGUCGACGGGUAGCCGGCCUGAGAGGGUGACCGGCCACACUGGGACUGAGACACGGCCCAGACUCCUACGGGAGGCAGCAGUGGGGAAUAUUGCACAAUGGGCGCAAGCCUGAUGCAGCAACGCCGCGUGAGGGACGACGGCCUUCGGGUUGUAAACCUCUUUUAGCAGGGAAGAAGCGAAAGUGACGGUACCUGCAGAAAAAGCGCCGGCUAACUACGUGCCAGCAGCCGCGGUAAUACGUAGGGCGCAAGCGUUAUCCGGAAUUAUUGGGCGUAAAGAGCUCGUAGGCGGUUUGUCGCGUCUGCUGUGAAAUCCGGAGGCUCAACCUCCGGCCUGCAGUGGGUACGGGCAGACUAGAGUGCGGUAGGGGAGAUUGGAAUUCCUGGUGUAGCGGUGGAAUGCGCAGAUAUCAGGAGGAACACCGAUGGCGAAGGCAGAUCUCUGGGCCGUAACUGACGCUGAGGAGCGAAAGGGUGGGGAGCAAACAGGCUUAGAUACCCUGGUAGUCCACCCCGUAAACGUUGGGAACUAGUUGUGGGGUCCAUUCCACGGAUUCCGUGACGCAGCUAACGCAUUAAGUUCCCCGCCUGGGGAGUACGGCCGCAAGGCUAAAACUCAAAGGAAUUGACGGGGACCCGCACAAGCGGCGGAGCAUGCGGAUUAAUUCGAUGCAACGCGAAGAACCUUACCAAGGCUUGACAUAUACGAGAACGGGCCAGAAAUGGUCAACUCUUUGGACACUCGUAAACAGGUGGUGCAUGGUUGUCGUCAGCUCGUGUCGUGAGAUGUUGGGUUAAGUCCCGCAACGAGCGCAACCCUCGUUCUAUGUUGCCAGCACGUAAUGGUGGGAACUCAUGGGAUACUGCCGGGGUCAACUCGGAGGAAGGUGGGGAUGACGUCAAAUCAUCAUGCCCCUUAUGUCUUGGGCUUCACGCAUGCUACAAUGGCCGGUACAAAGGGCUGCAAUACCGCGAGGUGGAGCGAAUCCCAAAAAGCCGGUCCCAGUUCGGAU